AGCGAACGCUGNGCGGCAGGCCUAAUACAUGCAAGUCGAGCGCACCUUCGGGUGAGCGGCGGACGGGUGAGUAACGCGUGGGAACGUGCCCUUUGGUUCGGAACAACACAGGGAAACUUGUGCUAAUACCGAAUGUGCCCUUCGGGGGAAAGAUUUAUCGCCAUUGGAGCGGCCCGCGUUGGAUUAGCUAGUUGGUGGGGUAAAGGCCCACCAAGGCGACGAUCCAUAGCUGGUCUGAGAGGAUGAUCAGCCACACUGGGACUGAGACACGGCCCAGACUCCUACGGGAGGCAGCAGUAGGGAAUCUUGCGCAAUGGGCGAAAGCCUGACGCAGCCAUGCCGCGUGAAUGAUGAAGGUCUUAGGAUUGUAAAAUUCUUUCACCGGGGAAGAUAAUGACGGUACCCGGAGAAGAAGCCCCGGCUAACUUCGUGCCAGCAGCCGCGGUAAUACGAAGGGGGCUAGCGUUGCUCGGAAUUACUGGGCGUAAAGGGCGCGUAGGCGGACAGUUUAGUCAGAGGUGAAAGCCCAGGGCUCAACCUUGGAGCUGCCUUUGAUACUGGCUGUCUUGAGUUCGGGAGAGGUGAGUGGAAUGCCGAGUGUAGAGGUGAAAUUCGUAGAUAUUCGGCGGAACACCAGUGGCGAAGGCGACUCACUGGCCCGAUACUGACGCUGAGGCGCGAAAGCGUGGGGAGCAAACA
RNAcentral lists this ribosomal RNA (699 nucleotides) under uncultured Alphaproteobacteria bacterium. Its description in RNAcentral is "bacterial SSU rRNA". It matches the Rfam family "Bacterial small subunit ribosomal RNA", at positions 28 to 774 of the family's 1533-position model. The record is from RNAcentral. Lineage: Bacteria; Pseudomonadati; Pseudomonadota; Alphaproteobacteria.